Molecule: ribosomal RNA, 468 nt
Filed under: uncultured bacterium
Lineage: Bacteria
Description: partial 16S ribosomal RNA
Rfam family: Bacterial small subunit ribosomal RNA
Source: RNAcentral
GACGAACGCUGGCGGCGCGCUUAACACAUGCAAGUCGAACGGGAAGGCUCUGCUUUUGUGGGGUGCUCGCGUGGCAAACGGGUGCGUAACACGUGCGUCACCUGCCCUCGACUUUGGGCUCACCUCAGGAACCUGGGGCUAAUACCGGAUAGGUGCUCCUGCUGCCUGGUGGUGGUUGGAACAGUUCGGCCGUUGGGGAUAGACUCGCGGCUUCUCCGCUUGUUGGUGGGUUAGUGGCUUACCAAGGCUUUGACGGGUAGCCGGCCUGUGAGGGUGACCGGCCACAUCGGGACUGAGAUCUGCCCCAGACUCCUACGGCAGGCAGCAUUGAGGAAUAUUCCAUCAUGGGCGGAAGCCAGAUGCAGCAAGGCCGCGUGCGGGAUGACGGCCGUCGGGUUGUAACCCGCUUUCGCCGGUGACGAAGCGUGAGUGACGGUAAUGGGUAAAGAAGCACCGGCUAACUACGUG